GUUGGGGCUGCGUGGGGGUACUGGAAGACUGGAGUUGGGGUUACUGGAAGACUGGAGUUGGGGUUACUGGAAGACUGGAGUUGGGCUGCUGGGGGUACUGGAAGACUGGAGUUGGGCUGUUGGGGUACUGGAAGACUGGAGUUGGGCUGCUGGGAGUACUGGAAGACUGGAGUUGGGCUGCUGGGGAUACUGGAAGACUGGAGUUGGGCUGCUGGGACUGGAAGACUGGAGUUGGGCUGCUGGGGGUACAGGAAGACUGGAUUGGGGCUGCUGGGGGUACUGGAAGACUGGAGUUGGGCUGCUGGGGGUACUGGAAGACUGGAGUUGGGCUGCUGGGGAUACUGGAAGACUGGAGUUGGGCUGCUGGGGGUACUGGAAGACUGGAGUUGGGCUGCUGGAAGACUGGAGUUGGGCUGCUGGGGGUACUGGAAGACUGGAGUUGGGCUGCUGGGGGUACUGGAAGACUGGAGUUGGGCUGCUGGGGGUACUGGAAGACUGGAGUUGGGGCUGCUGGAAGACUGGAGUUGGGCUGUUGGGGGUACUGGAAGACUGGAGUUGGGGCUGCUGGAAGACUGGAGUUGGGCUGCUGGGGGUACUGGAAGACUGGAGUUGGGCUGCUGGGGGGUACUGAAAGGCUGGAGUUGGGCUGCUGGGGGUACUGGAAGACUGGAAUACCGGAGGCUGGGGCAAGGCGAGCUGCG
Molecule: long non-coding RNA, 701 nt
Filed under: Salmo salar (Atlantic salmon)
Lineage: Eukaryota; Metazoa; Chordata; Actinopteri; Salmoniformes; Salmonidae
Description: lncRNA (ENSSSAG00000104096.1)
Source: RNAcentral